This is a long non-coding RNA of Numida meleagris (helmeted guineafowl), 5735 nucleotides long. RefSeq lists it as uncharacterized. NCBI's taxonomy places the organism in Eukaryota, Metazoa, Chordata, Aves, Galliformes, Numididae. The transcript has 4 exons. The record is from RefSeq and is a predicted model, not a curated record.
UAAAAUGGAAGGUGUGGGUGGGAAGGGGAGCAAUUAGAUACCUUACUCUCCGGCUGGUAAAGGACUGAAAACUGACAAGCUAUGCUGUUAGCUCUGUUUGUUUUCUUCAUCUUACUAAAUUCCUUGAGUAGUUCAAAAUCACAGAAAUUCUGAUUCGUGACUUGUUUCUAAAUCAUUUUUGCAAACAGGAGAUGAUGCCCUGUGAUUUCUCCCUUCUACUUAGCCUGCUUAGUGUCUCAGUUUACAGUACUUAGCACCAGUGCACGAUGCAUUAGUGAUUAGUUGGUGGGAACUGUAGUAGUGUUUAGCACAAAAGGCUACAGUGGAAAUGAAAAGUAUGCAUGUAACGAUGGAUUAUGCUGAUAGCCCCAAGAGAACACCAGAGCAGUUCUGACAACGCCUUUAUUUAAGUAGGUGCUGUGAAUGUGGUUGGCAUCUUUCUGAAUAAUGCUGUCAUUAUCUAACUGUACACGUUGGUGCUUUUGCCUCCAUAAAACAGAUUUUUUUAUUAACUCAAAAGCUAUUAUCUAGCUUAAAAACAACCCCGCCCCCCCCCCAUAUUGUCCCUGCUUUUUAGUUUGUAAGUUUGUUGUUUGUAGAGGUACACAGGCUUCAAGGCAGUUUGUUGUAAGGAAGUAAGGGGAGGUGGUGGGAAUUUGAUGAGGGUGUUGUUUGUCCCCAGCAGAGAUGCAGGCAAUGGCUCUGUACUCCCACUGGCGUUCUUCUUGCCACUUAUAGUUGUCAUAAAGAUAACUGCACUCCUUCUCUUUGCAUCCACCCUUUCCAGUAAUUAAUCUCAGUGGGGGAUUUAUCUGCCCCUGCUAGUUUCAGCGGAAUAAAUCCCACUGUAAUCCACCAUUGAUUAAAGAACUAUUGAUCUUCACCUCUCUGAUUCAGUUCUGGCAUCUCUCAACUUCUCACAUUGCAGUAUCCAGCAGCGUUUACUAAUCAGGCUUCUUUCUUUCAUACCAUUAGUACUGAGAUAAUUUGCUACGUGAAUCCUCAUGUUCAAUUAACUUGAGCUUUCUGGUUCGUUCAAAAGCAAUUUAAAAGUCACUUCUGGCAAUGGUAUCUGCACAAGAAUUAAGUUCUAUUAUGCUAUUUUUCUACUUUCAGUGGCAUUACUGAACCAGAAUGUCUCAGAAAAAGAUGAUCAGUUGCAAAUGGAAGAGAUUGGGAUCUGAAAUGGCAUGCAUUGCCAGCUACUAGCUGAUACCAGAGAAUGCAAAAAAGCUGUGUGCCACCAGUGACCCAUGGUGAAAGCAGGUUUCUCUUGAAAUUCACACCUCACUGCUUGUGUGAGAAGAUGACACGAGAGAGAUGCUGGUACAAAGAAUUGCAGCAGGAUUGCUUGAGUGAUACACCUCGCCUUCCUCGGAGGUCAGGGAACACAGAGUAGAAGUCAGAAGAUUUUGACGUUCACCAGUUUACUCCACUACGUCAAGCCAAUACGUCACAGUUACCUCUGCUUCUCAUCCUGCUCAAAAAGGGUCUUUCGUUAGCUCUGUGAACCUGAAGCAUCAGGGAGGAGAGCUGAUGGAAUCGCAGUCAGAGCCCUGGAAGAGGGCAGGCGAGCAGCUGUAAUGGAAUGACAGCAGGAUCACAGAAAAAAGGUGAGCAAAACAGCACCGAACGCUUAUAUGCAUACUUUUGACCUUGUAUACUCAGCAUGGGAUUGGUGACUGCUUCCCCUUCUCUGGUGACAGUAUCAGCUGCGGUGCCUCUGCUAGGAAGUAACCUGUACGGCUGCCUUAGGUGGCAAGACUGUACCCAGGGAUCAGCUGAUUGCCCCUGGCUGCAGCAUCAGUGCAGCAUCGCAGCUUUUCUCACAUAGAUCUGACUCGUGGCAUCUACAGACAAGGAUCCAUCACCUGCAAGUUCACACAAAACUCAAAAUUUCUCCGUCUGACAAACCACAGGGAUUAAUUAGGUGGGAUGGUUUGUAGAGAGACCUUACUGUAUGCGUACUGUGACUGUGAUUCUGUUCUGGGAGCAUCUUUUUGGGAAGACAGUGCUUGUUGUGAAAGGGCUUACCGUGUAUUUCAUGGGAUGCUGCUUUGUUGUGCCAGAUGGUAAGGAAAAACACUGCUCAGGACCCUACGAUUGCAUGCCCAGCUCUUCUGAAUGUUUCCAAACUCCACCCAUAUUUUGUAUCUGUGGUUUUUGUGUGAGCUUUUUUUUUUUUUUUUUUUAUCUGUCAUUUUUAGUUUCCUUUUUCUUCCUCACCUUCCUUGGUGCAAUCAUCUGGAUAAAUUAGUCCUGUGUCAUCCUUUAAAACAAAGAUUUCUUGCAUUGGAAUAUUCUGAUUCUGAGAAGAACAUACAUGCAUAUAUUUCUUGAAUGCACAUUAACUCUUGAUUCUAUCAGAAACUAGCAUGGGUGAUCCACAGUCAGCUUUUAACUAUGCUUUUUUUUCCAUGUGAUAAUUCUUUUAAACAUGUGAGGACUUAUUUCAAAGAACGUUUUGAUAGUGAAGAACGUACUGUAUCACAUUAGCCAUCUGUGGUGCACAGUUAGACGUUAUUAGGUGAUUAAUACGGAAGAACUUGAAUGCACAGACUUCACAGGACAGAAAUUUAAAACUUCAAUAUUUAUUAGCACCAAAUAUCAAGCAAGCUUCAUGACAACAAGUUGUACUUCCAAGCUGGUAAGUUCUUUAGUUUAGGGAAAGCAAGUGGGUGAUUGUAUGACACAUAAUUCAAUUUAUGUACUCAUGUAUUUGCAUUUGUAAGUCCCGGUGCCUUCAGUUGCUCACAGGUCUGAGUUCACAAUUUCUGUUUUUCCCCAAAAUGUAGGACUAUUUUCAAUUACAAGGUUUAGGGGCAUCUCUGUUCUUGAAAGGCCAAGGAGCACAACUCAGUUGCUCGCCAGAACAAAGUACCUCCGACUUCUGGAGGGAAAUAUUCCUGUUUCUAUUUCUAACGUACUGUCAAGUUCCUGCAGCUGAGCUCGUAGCGUGAAGAAUUUCCCCAGCAGCCCUUCCUCGCUGGUAGCCCCAUGCAGCCUCCCUGCUCACCUCGUACCAGCGUCACUUUCAGGUUAAGUUCCUACAGUUGCAAACCAGUGACCACUGGUGGCGAAGGAGGAGGGCUGCGCGGUGUCCUGAGGAUUAUAAAGAGACGUGGUGACUUGGACUGUCAUAAGCAAUCUGGUAUAGGUACACAGAGGGAGAGGGGAGCUUCCAAAAAAGAGCUAGAACCAGCUCCAUGCUGCAGCGCUCUUUUCCUCAAGAACUUGCAAAUGCUUUGUCUUGAUUGAGUCUGUAAAUAACAAUAACUUCCUUGGUGGGAGGGAAGAGUUCAGGUCCUUCAGAAAUGAAAGCACAAUGGAAAUUGCUGUGUGGGAUAUUGGUGUAGGGUUUUUGUUUGUUUGGCGGAUUUCUUUUGGUAGAAGUUACCUGGGACAGUUAGUUUGCAACAAGGAAAAACAUGGGGAUGACUGCUCUGCGUGGGUGAGCUUUUCAAAACAGCAAAGGGAAUGUUUCUGGGCUGAGGCUGAUCUCAGUAUCUUGGGUGCUAUCAGAAUUGUCUAAUUCUGUCCAUAGAGAACUCUGAGGGGAAGGCCUUUGAGGAAAAGGGAGGUGAGGUGCAUCUAAAUAGAAUUCCACAAACCAGUUCCCAAAAUCCCUUUAUUUCUGUCAUAAUUUGUAUUAUCUUCAGGAUGAGUUCUUUACACCUAAAUCUUUUCGCACUGUCAGUAUGGAAAAAUAAAUACAUAGGCAAUACACAUUAAUAAUUGCUUUUUAUGCUGUACCUUGUACAAAACUUACUUUGUUUUGCACAGAUAUAUACAACUAUGUAUUUUCUUUUGUUGUUUGUAUUUUAAACCGCAUCCUGUAAUAGUCCUGUGGAAACGUAGUGGGAGGUUUAUACUACAUAAAGGAUCCCAUGUUUUCAAAUUAUUCCUUUAACCACUGGUACAGGGAAGUCUGUGUUAAGCACCUCUGUCAUAACAAAAUGUUCUGCCCAAACAACUUCUGCAGAAAUGGUUUCAGUGGAUUGGACAUCUCUUCGCUAAAGAAACAUUCACCGUGAGGCAACCGUCAAGAACCCCAUGUAGCUCUCACUUGCCCUCCUGCAGUGAAUGCUUUCUGGUUGUUUGAGGGAAUGUAAACCGAGGGUUUCCUCCAGGUCAACAAAAAUCACCAUUUCUAGUGAACAGAAUAACAUACCUUUUUCUAUAAGGACAUAGCUUUAUUUAAAAAAAGAAAAAAAGCAAGGUAAAAUGAGUUACGUAGACACUGUUGGAGAACAACCUUUCAAACUGCAGUUGCUGGGUAAGUUACUAAUGAGAGAUUCUUUGUCUUCUUUAACGUACCAGAAAGUAAGAAACAUACAGGGCUCUGUAUUUUGUACUUUUGAUGUCUCAAGCCAAAAGUUGGGAUGAAGUUUUUAUAGGCUGCCCUUAAGUCUCUUUGAAAGUGUUCUCUGUACUUUCUUGUUUUAUUUGCUACCUUUAGCAAGUUUUCUUUUGUAGCCGCCGUGCCAUGCGGACAGAAAGUACUUCAAGCUACACAGUGAGUAUCAUCAGCUCAACCUGACAUUCCUGGGUUGUGCUAAGUAUGCCUGAGAGAAAUAAGCGGGAUGUCAGCUGAAAUGCUGGGCUUGUUGCUGAUUGAAACACCUGUCUGUGCUGAUGUGUAGUUCAGGAAGCAAAGACAACUGAGCUAGGAUAGCUGCUGGGGAAGAGACACUGGACUUUGAAUUUUGAAACAAUGGGAUCCUGAAAAUCGAUAGUAAGCUACAUUUCCCAGGUCCGAGCCUUACUGGGGAAACAAAUUAGGCUGUAAAGGUGAUAGAGCUGCUCUUUGCCCACAGAUUUCCAUAAUAUUCAUUAAUUUAUACUUCAGCGUUUCUGAAGUAUAAAACCAAUGGUGACUACAUGAAACUGAAAGGCAACAUGUUUAAAAGAUCUGACUCUUUUGUUGUUGUUUUUUAACGUAUGUAGCAAGAUGAAAUGGGGAAAUUCAUUGUUACAAUAUAAGACUGAAGUGGAAAUCUUCUCCCAGUUCAGAAAAGGGCUAUAGAUGUGGUCAGUGAGACCAUCUAGCGGUGCACUUAACAGGAUGAAGGAAGACCAAGGAAUACAAGCCUGCCGCUGACCUGAGGGUGGAAGAAAUGUCCACCAACAUUGUGAGGUUUCCUGCAACAGUCUCUGAGCUUUCUGGUUCUCCAUUUUCACACCAUGCCUAUCUAGCCUUUCAUUAGUCUGUCUGCAUUGCUCAGAAGGCACCAGAUUUAGAGGCAAGCUCACUUGUGAACGUGUCUGAAGGGUGCAAUAAAUCAGAAAAGCAGUGUGAGACAAGGUACUUGGCUAAGCAGAGCUCCUUUUGAUCUGACACAGGAGAUCAGGAGUAGGAGUCCCUAAUGUUCCAUUUUAACACUGCCUGGUGUUAACUUCCUCUGUCUUCCUAUGUAAUUUCUGAAUAUAAGCAACUACCUCAGAAAAAGAGAAGUUAUUCACUUUCCAAAUGAUCAGUAACAGAUGAGCUCUAAACAUAAAGGUUGGUUUUGGGUGUACAGCUUUUUGUUACAUUAUUAAACCCGACCCCCCAAUAUUUUCUGAAGUGUUACUUGUAUUGACUAUCACAUAAUUUCAGGUUGCCCUUAAGAGGAAACAGAAAGGGGUAUAAAUUUACCUGGAAAUGGGUAAGCUGCGUAAAUAAAUUAAAGAAAAAAUCAAUAACGAAGGAUAGAUCAAAUCAAAGAUAGGUAAUGAGAAAUGACAAAAAGAAG